UACAGAGGUCUCAAGCGUUGUUCGGAUUCAUUGGGCGUAAAGAGCUCGUAGGCGGUUUGUUGCGUCGGCUGUGAAAUCCCGAGGCUCAACCUCGGGUCUGCAGUCGAUACGAGCAAACUAGAGUGUUGCAGGGGAGACUGGAAUUCCUGGUGUAGCGGUGAAAUGCGCAGAUAUCUGGAGGAACACCGGUGGCGAAGGCGGCAUCCUGGACCAAUAUUGACGCUGAGGAGCGAAAGCUAGGGGAGCAAACGGG
RNAcentral lists this ribosomal RNA (253 nucleotides) under uncultured bacterium. RNAcentral's name for it is "partial 16S ribosomal RNA". It matches the Rfam family "Bacterial small subunit ribosomal RNA", at positions 524 to 776 of the family's 1533-position model. The record is from RNAcentral.